RNAcentral lists this ribosomal RNA (695 nucleotides) under uncultured bacterium. Its description in RNAcentral is "bacterial SSU rRNA". It matches the Rfam family "Bacterial small subunit ribosomal RNA", at positions 32 to 715 of the family's 1533-position model. The record is from RNAcentral.
AACGCUAGCUACAGGCUUAACACAUGCAAGUCGCGGGGCAGCAUUUUCCUAGCUUGCUAGGGAAGAUGGCGACCGGCGCACGGGUGAGUAACGCGUAUCCAACCUUCCCAUGUCCACGGGAUAGCCCGUCGAAAGGCGGAUUAAUACCGUAUGAGGUCACAUGCGGGCAUCUAACUGUGACGAAAGGUUUGGCGGACAUGGAUGGGGAUGCGUCCGAUUAGCUAGUUGGCGGGGUAACGGCCCACCAAGGCGACGAUCGGUAGGGGUUCUGAGAGGAAGAUCCCCCACAUUGGAACUGAGACACGGUCCAAACUCCUACGGGAGGCAGCAGUGAGGAAUCUUGGUCAAUGGGCGCAAGGCCUGAACCAGCCACGUAGCGUGAAGGAAGACUGCCCUAUGGGUUGUAAACUGCUUUUAUGUGGGGAUAAAGUUCGGGACGUGUCCUGAUUUGCAGGUACCACAUGAAUAAGGACCGGCUAAUUCCGUGCCAGCAGCCGCGGUAAUACGGAAGGUCCGGGCGUUAUCCGGAUUUAUUGGGUUUAAAGGGAGCGUAGGCUGUCUGGUAAGCGUGUUGUGAAAUGUAGGCGCUCAACGUCUGAAUUGCAGCGCGAACUACCGGACUUGAGUGCGCAGGAAGUAGGCGGAAUUUGUGGUGUAGCGGUGAAAUGCUUAGAUAUCACGAAGAACUCCGAUUG